This 396-nucleotide unclassified non-coding RNA is filed under the name soil metagenome. Its description in RNAcentral is "partial contains 5.8S ribosomal RNA, internal transcribed spacer 2, and large subunit ribosomal RNA". The stretch from base 1 to 122 matches the Rfam family "5.8S ribosomal RNA", at positions 35 to 154 of the family's 154-position model. The record is from RNAcentral.
GAUGAAGAACGCAGCGAAAUGCGAUACUUGGUGUGAAUUGCAGAAUCCCGUGAACCAUCGAGUCUUUGAACGCAAGUUGCGCCCGAAGCCAUUAGGCCGAGGGCACGCCUGCCUGGGUGUCACACACCGUUACCCUCGCGCCAACGUCCAUCGUUGGCCGCGGCGCGGGGCGUGCGCUGACCUCCCGCGAGCGGGGUCUCGUGGUUGGUUGAAAAUCGAGUUCGCGGUCGAGGGUGCCGUGAUGAAAUGGUGGAUGGGCGACGCCCGAGGCCAAUCACGCGCGACUCUGUCAGGCUCGGACUCCUGGACCCCUUCGGCGUCUCCGGACGCUCUUUGGCGAGACCUCAGGUCAGGCGGGGCUACCCGCUGAGUUUAAGCAUAUCAAUAAGCGGAGGA